RNAcentral lists this long non-coding RNA (389 nucleotides) under Pan troglodytes (chimpanzee). Its description in RNAcentral is "lncRNA (ENSPTRG00000054178.1)". The record is from RNAcentral. Lineage: Eukaryota; Metazoa; Chordata; Mammalia; Primates; Hominidae.
UCCCAGAAGAAUGAGAGACAUCUCAGGCAAGCCCAAACAAAACUUGUAGUUUAGAACAAAGCUUGGUGAAACUCAGCCCAGUUGAGCUGAUACCAGCCUACCCAUAGUUGGAUGAGUGAGAAGUAAAGGCUCGUGUUAUUAUGUCUUGGUGAUAAUUGGCAUCUGGGGACUGCUGCGACUUUCGUGUGCUUUUCUCCCAAGCAAAUGGCUUUUCACCUUGGGAAGGAGGUCUAUUUACUUUUUAUUUGAAAAGGAAUUGUUUUUGUUGUUUUCCUAAAGCUGGAGAGUGAAGGAAGCCAUCCUUGAGGAGUCAAGAUAAACUUCGGAUGUAAGGUCUGUUGAUUUAAAGUAGCUUCUCUCUCUCUGAGACAGUAAUAUAAAUGAAGCAU